GAUGAACGCUGGCGGCGUGCCUAAUACAUGCAAGUCGAGCGAACGGACGAGAAGCUUGCUUUUCUGAUGUUAGCGGCGGACGGGUGAGUAACACGUGGAUAACCUACCUAUAAGACUGGGAUAACUUCGGGAAACCGGAGCUAAUACCGGAUAAUAUUUUGAACCGCAUGGUUCAAAAGUGAAAGACGGUCUUGCUGUCACUUAUAGAUGGAUCCGCGCUGCAUUAGCUAGUUGGUAAGGUAACGGCUUACCAAGGCAACGAUGCAUAGCCGACCUGAGAGGGUGAUCGGCCACACUGGAACUGAGACACGGUCCAGACUCCUACGGGAGGCAGCAGUAGGGAAUCUUCCGCAAUGGGCGAAAGCCUGACGGAGCAACGCCGCGUGAGUGAUGAAGGUCUUCGGAUCGUAAAACUCUGUUAUUAGGGAAGAACAUAUGUGUAAGUAACUGUGCACAUCUUGACGGUACCUAAUCAGAAAGCCACGGCUAACUACGUGCCAGCAGCCGCGGUAAUACGUAGGUGGCAAGCGUUAUCCGGAAUUAUUGGGCGUAAAGCGCGCGUAGGCGGUUUUUUAAGUCUGAUGUGAAAGCCCACGGCUCAACCGUGGAGGGUCAUUGGAAACUGGAAAACUUGAGUGCAGAAGAGGAAAGUGGAAUUCCAUGUGUAGCGGUGAAAUGCGCAGAGAUGUGGAGGAACACCAGUGGCGAAGGCGACUUUCUGGUCUGUAACUGACGCUGAUGUGCGAAAGCGUGGGGAUCAAACAGGAUUAGAUACCCUGGUAGUCCACGCCGUAAACGAUGAGUGCUAAGUGUUAGGGGGUUUCCGCCCCUUAGUGCUGCAGCUAACGCAUUAAGCACUCCGCCUGGGGAGUACGACCGCAAGGUUGAAACUCAAAGGAAUUGACGGGGGCCCGCACAAGCGGUGGAGCAUGUGGUUUAAUUCGAAGCAACGCGAAGAACCUUACCAAAUCUUGACAUCCUUUGACAACUCUAGAGAUAGAGCCUUCCCCUUCGGGGGACAAAGUGACAGGUGGUGCAUGGUUGUCGUCAGCUCGUGUCGUGAGAUGUUGGGUUAAGUCCCGCAACGAGCGCAACCCUUAAGCUUAGUUGCCAUCAUUAAGUUGGGCACUCUAAGUUGACUGCCGGUGACAAACCGGAGGAAGGCGGGGAUGACGUCAAAUCAUCAUGCCCCUUAUGAUUUGGGCUACACACGUGCUACAAUGGACAAUACAAAGGGCAGCGAAACCGCGAGGUCAAGCAAAUCCCAUAAAGUUGUUCUCAGUUCGGAUUGUAGUCUGCAACUCGACUACAUGAAGCUGGAAUCGCUAGUAAUCGUAGAUCAGCAUGCUACGGUGAAUACGUUCCCGGGUCU
This 1372-nucleotide ribosomal RNA is filed under the name uncultured bacterium. Its description in RNAcentral is "bacterial SSU rRNA". It matches the Rfam family "Bacterial small subunit ribosomal RNA", at positions 28 to 1381 of the family's 1533-position model. The record is from RNAcentral.